This 503-nucleotide ribosomal RNA is filed under the name uncultured bacterium. RNAcentral describes it as "bacterial SSU rRNA". It matches the Rfam family "Bacterial small subunit ribosomal RNA", at positions 24 to 518 of the family's 1533-position model. The record is from RNAcentral.
UCAGGAUGAACGCUAGCGACAGGCUUAACACAUGCAAGUCGAGGGGCAGACAUAAAAGUAGCAAUACGUUGGUGGCGACCGGCGCACGGGUGAGUAACGCGUAUGCAACCUACCUAUCAGAGGGGAAUAACCCGGCGAAAGUCGGACUAAUACCGCAUAAAACAGGGGCACCGCAUGGUGAUAUUUGUUAAAGAGAUUCGCUGAUAGAUGGGCAUGCGUUCCAUUAGGUAGUUGGUGAGGUAACGGCUCACCAAGCCGACGAUGGAUAGGGGAACUGAGAGGUUGGUCCCCCACACUGGUACUGAGACACGGACCAGACUCCUACGGGAGGCAGCAGUGAGGAAUAUUGGUCAAUGGGCGGGAGCCUGAACCAGCCAAGUCGCGUGAAGGAAGAAGGAUCUAUGGUUCGUAAACUUCUUUUGCAGGGGAAUAAAGUGCAGGACGUGUCCUGUCUUGUAUGUACCCUGAGAAUAAGGAUCGGCUAACUCCGUGCCAGCCGCCGC